RNAcentral lists this ribosomal RNA (253 nucleotides) under uncultured bacterium. RNAcentral describes it as "partial 16S ribosomal RNA". It matches the Rfam family "Bacterial small subunit ribosomal RNA", at positions 524 to 776 of the family's 1533-position model. The record is from RNAcentral.
UACGGGGGGGGCAAGCGUUGUUCGGAAUUACUGGGCGUAAAGAGCUCGUAGGUGGUUUGUCGCGUUGUUCGUGAAAACUCACAGCUUAACUGUGGGCGUGCGGGCGAUACGGGCAGACUGGAGUACUGCAGGGGAGACUGGAAUUCCUGGUGUAGCGGUGGAAUGCGCAGAUAUCAGGAGGAACACCGGUGGCGAAGGCGGGUCUCUGGGCAGUAACUGACGCUGAGGAGCGAAAGCGUGGGGAGCGAACAGG